GACGAACGCUGGCGGCGUGCUUAACACAUGCAAGUCGAACGGAAAGGCCCUGCUUUUGUGGGGUGCUCGAGUGGCGAACGGGUGAGUAACACGUGAGUAACCUGCCCUUGACUUUGGGAUAACUUCAGGAAACUGGGGCUAAUACCGGAUAGGAGCUCCUGCUGCAUGGUGGGGGUUGGAAAGUUUCGGCGGUUGGGGAUGGACUCGCGGCUUAUCAGCUUGUUGGUGGGGUAGUGGCUUACCAAGGCUUUGACGGGUAGCCGGCCUGAGAGGGUGACCGGCCACAUUGGGACGGAGAUGCGGCCCAGACCCCUACGGGACGGGGCGGUGGGGAAUAUUAUACAAUGGGCGGAAGCCUGAUCCAACAACGCCGCGUGCGGGAUGACGGCCAUCGGGUUGUGUUCCGCUUUCGCCUGAGACGAAGCGUGAGUGACGGUAAUGGGUGAAGAAGCACCGGCUAACUACGUG
RNAcentral lists this ribosomal RNA (468 nucleotides) under uncultured bacterium. RNAcentral's name for it is "partial 16S ribosomal RNA". It matches the Rfam family "Bacterial small subunit ribosomal RNA", at positions 28 to 507 of the family's 1533-position model. The record is from RNAcentral.